Molecule: ribosomal RNA, 253 nt
Filed under: uncultured bacterium
Lineage: Bacteria
Description: partial 16S ribosomal RNA
Rfam family: Bacterial small subunit ribosomal RNA
Source: RNAcentral
GACGAACCGAGCGAACGUUAUUCGGAAUCACUGGGCUUAAAGGGCGCGUAGGCGGGCGAUCAAGUCAGGGGUGAAAGCCCCCAGCUCAACUGGGGAAGUGCCUCUGAUACUGGUCGCCUCGAGGGAGGUAGGGGCGUGCGGAACUUCCGGUGGAGCGGUGAAAUGCGUAGAUAUCGGAAGGAACAUCGGUGGCGAAAGCGGCGCGCUGGACCUCUCCUGACGCUGAGGCGCGAAAGCCAGGGGAGCGAACGGG